Molecule: ribosomal RNA, 254 nt
Filed under: uncultured bacterium
Lineage: Bacteria
Description: partial 16S ribosomal RNA
Rfam family: Bacterial small subunit ribosomal RNA
Source: RNAcentral
UACGAGGGGGGCGAGCGUUGUUCGGAAUUAUUGGGCGUAAAGGGCGCGUAGGCGGUCAGCACAAGUCAGUUGUGAAAUCUCCGGGCUUAACUCGGAAAGGUCAACUGAUACUGUGCGACUAGAGUGCGGAAGGGGCAACUGGAAUUCUCGGUGUAGCGGUGAAAUGCGUAGAUAUCGAGAGGAACACCUGCGGCGAAGGCGGGUUGCUGGGCCGACACUGACGCUGAUGCGCGAAAGCCAGGGGAGCGAACGGG